RNAcentral lists this long non-coding RNA (1565 nucleotides) under Medicago truncatula (barrel medic). Its description in RNAcentral is "long non-coding RNA (MTRU_LNC002580)". Lineage: Eukaryota; Viridiplantae; Streptophyta; Magnoliopsida; Fabales; Fabaceae. The record is from RNAcentral.
AAGAAUAAGAAUGAAUUGUAUAGCAGAAUAACUUUUUUAUUCUCAUUUCAUAUAAUAUUGGACAAUACAAUUGAUUUGAUGCUAAUACAAAACUAACUCUAACUGAAAAUUACAAUGAGAACAUUCAAACUACGCCAUUUAGAAAUAAAAACAAUGAGUAAUCCCUGUAAUUGCUAAAGAUCUCAUUUCAUUCUUCUUGCUAUAAAUUUCUUCCUCUUCCGAUAUCACAUCUUCAAUCUGAACAGUUUGGAGCACAAAUUCCGUAAGUUUGAAUCCAUCUUUCCAGGCCUAUAAGCACUCACACAACCAUCAUUUAAGAACCCUUGUCCCCUGUACCGCUUUUGACAUCAGAAUACUAUCCAUUAAGUUAGAAUGUCUGGUUUCAUACAACCUGAUACAAUCAACCUAUUUCUCCAAAUAAGACUGCAACUCUGUUCAUGAAUCUACCCUCAACUUGUUUCUCCCAUCUGAAAUCAGAAGGCCUUGUUUCAUAAAAUUGAAUUCAAAAACAAUCUUAGUGAAGACAAUAAUAUACAUGAGGCAAAACUCUUGAAUUCUAGUUAUAGUGCCUAAUAAAUAAUCUCAGUGAAGACAAGAAUAUACAUGAGGCAAAACUAAAUUUUUAAAUUCUAGUUAUAGUGCCUAAUUUUAUUACAUUUCCAAUCCAUAACUAAACUGCAACAUGCUCAUAAUUCAACGUUAGGAUAGACAUAUAAGUUUUAUACAAGUUUUAUUGGGUUUGGACCUCCUCUUCAAAUUCUAAACAUCAGGCAUGAGUUCCUCUUUCAGCUUCCACACAAUGAUAAAACACCAAACAAAAAUUAAUACGAAUAAAGCAUAUUUUCAGAAUUAGGCUACACUCCUACAUUCAAAAAAGUUUAUCACAUAAGUAUUUUUACAGUAUAUUGGUUUUGAAAUUUGUGUUCCAUAAGUGUGUCAAAGGCUUCACUCAUAGUUAUCAUAUUAAGAAGUGGUCUACCUUAAAUCGGGUCAUAUGUACAAAACUUUUCUAUAACUCAAUUCUCAGUCAAGGUGGCAUUUACUAUACACAAAGCACAAAUUUGUGCACCAUACACAAGUUUGGCAUUUACUUCUCAACCCUAUUUCUGACAAGAAUAAUCUCAGUGAAUCAAUUCAUUCUCAGUUUCAAAAUUCAUUGUUACAACAUAUAUAUAUAAAUGGAACCAUUAACUCUUCAAUAACCAAGAAAAAUUAUCUAAAAACUGAAAAAGGUGAAUGAGAAAGGGGAAGAGGUUAAAUUACCAUGUUUGGGGAUUACAGAUUGAGCUUCGAUUGACAAGAGCUGAGAAAAUGAAACCCUCAAUUAAACAAAGAGUACGGUGAGGAGGAAACGGAAAAGGGAAAGAUGGCGGUGAGGAACAAAGGUCAAUGACAGUGAGGAAAGGAACAAAGUAACAUCGAAAGAUGAUUUUGCAGAGGGAAAAGUGUCACGUGAGUUUCUAAUUGUUAUAUUUAGCGAGAUAUAUGAGCCGUAGGAUUUGUUUAAUUAAGCGGUUGAGAUUUGGUGUAAGUCUUUGGACUUACACCUGGUGUCAACGGAUCCU